RNAcentral lists this small nuclear RNA (102 nucleotides) under Nematostella vectensis (starlet sea anemone). RNAcentral's name for it is "U4 spliceosomal RNA". It matches the Rfam family "U4 spliceosomal RNA", at positions 38 to 138 of the family's 138-position model. Rfam says of the family: U4 small nuclear RNA (U4 snRNA) is a component of the major U2-dependent spliceosome. The structure of U4 snRNA from yeast and human has been reported. The record is from Rfam by way of RNAcentral. Lineage: Eukaryota; Metazoa; Cnidaria; Anthozoa; Actiniaria; Edwardsiidae.
CAUCCGAGGCGCGGUUAUUGCUGAUUGAAAACUUUUCCCAAUACCCCGCGAGACGACUUGAAACAUAGUCGGCUUUGCAAUUUUUGUGGGCCCUGCUUAGGG